This 253-nucleotide ribosomal RNA is filed under the name uncultured bacterium. RNAcentral's name for it is "partial 16S ribosomal RNA". It matches the Rfam family "Bacterial small subunit ribosomal RNA", at positions 524 to 776 of the family's 1533-position model. The record is from RNAcentral.
UACGGAGGAUGCAAGCGUUAUCCGGAAUUAUUGGGCGUAAAGCGUCCGCAGGUGGCAAUGUAAGUCUGCUGUUAAAGAGUGAGGCUCAACCUCAUAAGAGCAGUGGAAACUACAUAGCUAGAGUGCGGUCGGGGCAAAGGGAAUUCCUGGUGUAGCGGUGAAAUGCGUAGAGAUCAGGAAGAACACCGGUGGCGAAAGCGCUUUGCUAGGCCGCAACUGACACUCAGGGACGAAAGCUAGGGGAGCGAAUGGG